RNAcentral lists this ribosomal RNA (1693 nucleotides) under Clostridioides difficile. Its description in RNAcentral is "partial 23S ribosomal RNA". It matches the Rfam family "Bacterial large subunit ribosomal RNA", at positions 388 to 2101 of the family's 2925-position model. Lineage: Bacteria; Bacillati; Bacillota; Clostridia; Peptostreptococcales; Peptostreptococcaceae. The record is from RNAcentral.
AGAAGACUUCAGAUAUGAUCCAGAGUACCACGGGACACGUGAAACCCUGUGGGAAGCAGGAGGGACCACCCUCCAAGGCUAAAUACUACCUAGUGACCGAUAGCGUAUAGUACCGUGAGGGAAAGGUGAAAAGAACCCCGGGAGGGGAGUGAAAUAGAACCUGAAACCCUGCACUUACAAGCUGUGGAAGCACAUUUCUUGUGUGACCGCGUACUUUUUGUAGAACGGGCCAACGAGUUACGUUAAGUAGCAAGGUUAAGCACUUAAGGUGCGGAGCCGUAGCGAAAGCGAGUUUUAACUGAGCGUUCAGUUACUUGACGUAGACCCGAAACCGGGCGACCUACCCAUGAGCAGGAUGAAGCGAAAGUAAAAUUUCGUGGAGGUCCGAACCCACGAGCGUUGAAAAGCUCGGGGAUGACUUGUGGGUAGCGGUGAAAUUCCAAUCGAGCCCGGAGAUAGCUGGUUCUCCCCGAAAUAGCUUUAGGGCUAGCCUCAAGGUGAGAGAUACGGAGGUAGAGCACUGAAUGUCCUAGGGGGUAUUGCACCUACCGAAGACUAUCAAACUCCGAAUGCCGUCAUCUUAUACUUGGGAGUCAGACUGUGGGUGAUAAGAUUCAUAGUCGAAAGGGCAACAGCCCAGAUCGUCAGCUAAGGUCCCUAAAUGUAAGUUAAGUGGUAAAGGAUGUGGGAUUGCACAGACAACCAGGAUGUUGGCUUAGAAGCAGCCACUCAUUCAAAGAGUGCGUAAUAGCUCACUGGUCGAGUGAUCCUGCGCCGAAGAUUUCCGGGGCUAAAACUUACUACCGAAGCUACGGCAUCAGUAAUGAUGGGUAGGGGAGCUUCCCAUACGGGUUGAAGCAUGACCGUAAGGACAUGUGGACAGUAUGGGAGUGAGAAUGUUGGCAUGAGUAGCGAGAUGUGGGUGAGAAUCCCACAGGCCGUAAACCCAAGGUUUCCAGGGGAAGGUUCGUCCGCCCUGGGUUAGUCGGGACCUAAGCUGAGGCCGAAAGGCGUAGGUGAUGGACAACAGGUUGAUAUUCCUGUACUACCGAUAACCGUUUGAGAGAAGGGAUGACACAGUAGGAUAAGCUAAGCACACUGUUGGUUAUGUGUGCCCAAGCAUUGAGGCAGUCAAAGUAGGCAAAUCCGCUUUGAUAAUGCUGGGAUGUGAUGGGGAGCGAAAUUUAGUAGCGAAGUAGCUGAUUUCACACUGUCAAGAAAAGUCUCUAUCGAGGUUAAAGGUACCCGUACCGCAAACCGACACAGGUGGGUGAGGAGAGUAUCCUAAGGCCAGCGAGAGAACUGUUGUUAAGGAACUCGGCAAAAUGACCCCGUAACUUAGGGAUAAGGGGUGCCACCAUCAGGUGGCCGCAGAGAAUAGGCCCAAGCGACUGUUUACCAAAAACAUAGGUUUCUGCUAAGUCGCAAGACGAUGUAUAGGAGCUGACGCCUGCCCGGUGCUGGAAGGUUAAGGGGAUCUGUUAGAGCAAUCGAAGCAGUGAACUUAAGCCCCAGUAAACGGCGGCCGUAACUAUAACGGUCCUAAGGUAGCGAAAUUCCUUGUCGGGUAAGUUCCGACCCGCACGAAAGGCGUAACGAUUUGGGCACUGUCUCAACAACAGACUCGGUGAAAUUGUAAUUCCGGUGAAGAUGCCGGAUACCUGCGACAGGACGGAAAGACCCCAUGGAGCUU